GGCAAAGCCAGAGUCAGGCCUGGGGCCUCACAGCCUGCCAUCUGUCCUGGGGGGGGGGCAGGGGAAGAAGGGAGGGAGGGAAGGAGAGAGGAGGGAGGGAGACACACAGAGACACAGAAACAGAAGCCAGGCAGAGGUAGGGACAGAGCUCAGGCUGUUCAAGGGCAAAGGGCGUGGUGCUUCCCAGAAUGGCCUCUACUCCUCUGGGAGAGAGGCUGAGGUAUCCCUCCAUGCUCCCAGCCAUUCCCUUCAUUCUCCUCCCAGGGGGUCCCACCCAGACCUCGCAGCAGCCCCAUGGAACAGAGACAGAGCCGGUGAGGGAGACAAGAGCGAGGGGGGCGGGACAGAGAAGAGUAAAUGUGGACUCGGUAAUUGCAGAUGACACAGAACAGGGACCCCGGGAGCGGCAGCGGGCAGAUGUGGAGACCAGAAAAAGGGGACGGAAGGGGACGGGGGAGGGACAGGAAAAGCUCCCAAGGGAGCGAGAUCUGGGGCCUGCCGGGCUAUAGAUGCCCCAGCGGCCCCCUCGGAGCUGCCCGCUGAGGGCCCCCCACAGCCCACGGGGAAGUCUCUUCUGCUUUAGGACGGCCGAGACGACCGACAAGCUCCUCUUCCUGUCGAGCUGCAGCCUCCUCCCCGGGCCAUUAGGACCCACCAUUCCGUGACUUGCUCUAAAAGCACGGAGCAGGUCUCGGGAUCCCACCUGGCGUACGCUGUUAAAGGUACGACUGGUCCAUGGCAGCAAAAGGCAGGGCCUAUCCCCCAGGGCCAGCCUGGCUCCAGCAAGCCUCCCUGCCGUCGCUGCCGUUCCCCCUCAGGUGGCUGACCUGGUCGGUGAGGGGCAGUCUGCUGAGGUACUUUGCCAAGAUUUGCACGAUGCUUUUUGUAUCAGAUUUAUUUACUGCUUUGCCCCCAUUACGCUCAGAACGCCUUUUUUUUAAACAUCCGUUUUGUAAAAUCCCCACCCACAAUUCAGAAACCACACGUGAAGUUUCUCAUAUUAUUCUCGUGGGGAAGAUGGAAAGAUUUGGGUCAGGCGAUCAGACGGCAGGCCCGAGAGCAGCCGUUAAUGGUUCACCGUCAAGUAGGCAGGAAGUCUCUACUGGAAUGCUCACCGGAUGGGUGUUUGGCCCUGGCCUGGUUCUUAUUUUUACCCGGGAAUUGAAUAAAGGCCUAGCUGGGCCGAUUAGCAAGCCUGCAGAUGGUACCAGGCUGCAAGGACCACAGCUGACAGAGCAGAUGACAGGCACUCGGGAUCCGCAAACAUAUGGACAGGUUAGAGCCUCUGACUGAGGCUGAAACAAAGGGCCAUAGAAAUAAUCCUACUUGGAUUCCCAAGCCCAAGAUGGCGGAGGGCCGGUUGGAUGACGGUCAUUUGAGCCUAACCUGCGAGUCUGAGGGGUGACACGGAGCAGCCAAGAGGGCGAACGGCUCCGGCUUCUGCCCUGCUCAGAGCCCAACGAAAGACUGUGUUCUGGGAACCAAAGUCUAGGGAGGACAGUGAGAAGCCGGAGUGUCGCCAGGGGCAGCUGAGAAGGAGGAGAGGGGACUCAAGAUCACGCCAACCUGACACUGAGCUUGGAGCCAGAUGAUGGGAAGGGCCGGCUGGCCCACAGAACAAGGGGCUUAGCUUCGCUCCGCUUGCCACCCAGAGGGAUGUCAGAUCACAAACCCAAAGCUUCAACUGUUCCUCUUUCUUUAACUGACCUUCAGAGGGCCUGGCUCCUCCCCAUCCUCUACUCAGGCCCCCAUUUGAAUCCAUUCCAGCUUUUCCAUGUCCCUCUUACGUUUGGCCCCCAGAAGUGGACACAGCCUCCGGCCCUCCUCACUCUAUUCUUCCCCAAUUGACCAUGAGCUUCGGGAUGAAACUUUACAUCGGUCCCUGUUAGUGUUCAUUGGAUACCCUAACUCGCUAUCCUUAGGAUCACUGGAUUUAGAGGUGGAAGGGACCUGCUGUCAACCGGAAGGCCAGAGGAGAAAACCAAGGCCUCGAGAAGGAAAAGGUCUCACAACCACUGAAUCACAGAGCUGGCAUUUGAACCCAGGCUCUGGGACUCCAAAGCUUCUAGCUCAUCACAAUGUUGAUUUUUGAAUUUGGAUUCUUCUGGCCCCUCCCCGUUCGAGGUGAAUCCCAAAUUAAUAAAUGACAUUUCAUCCAAGGCAAUCCCAAUGAACUCUGGGUAGAAAACGCCAUCUUCAUCCAGAGAGAGAACUAUGGGGAUUGAAUGUAAAUCAACACAUGCUAUGUUCCCUUUUUUUUUCGGGUUUUUUUUUUUUCCUCUCCUGUGGUUUUUCCCUUUUGUUUUGAUUCUUGUCUCCCAGCAUGAUUCGUAAAGAAAUAUGUAUUAAAAAGUUAAUAUACAUGUAAAAUAAAGCAAUUAAUAAAAAUAAAGUAUACAAAAAA
Molecule: long non-coding RNA, 2404 nt
Organism: Antechinus flavipes (yellow-footed antechinus)
Lineage: Eukaryota; Metazoa; Chordata; Mammalia; Dasyuromorphia; Dasyuridae
Exons: 2
Source: RefSeq, a predicted model, not a curated record